AAGGUGGUGAGGGGCGAUCCGGCCAUGAAGGCGGAGGCGACCAAGGUCGCCGCCGAGCACCACCACUACUUGACGCCGACCAUCAGCUUCAGCGACAGCGCCCUCAAGUUUACCCAUGUCCUCUACAACCUCUCCCCGGCCGAUAUCUACUCUCAUCUCCUCUUCAUCACUCAAAUCAUCACAUUUUAUUCUCAUUGAAAGAAUCACGAAUUCCUUGUAGAACUCUAUGAGCAAGCCAUAAAACAUGAACAUGGAUCAUUCAUAACAUCGACCGGAGCCUUGGCUACCUUGUCCGGCGCAAAGACUGGUCGUUCGCCGAGGGACAAGCGCAAGGAUGAAACCACUACCAAUGAGCUUUGGUGGGGAAAGUAAGUCCACACAACUAAUUCAUGAUCCUUCCAUUGAUGGUUCCUUCUCAAAAUGUAUGUGCACUAUUCACGCAGAGGCUCACCGAACAUAGAGAUGGAUGAGCACACCUUCCUAGUGAACAGGGAGAGGGUUGUCGAUUACCUCAACUCUUUGGAUAAGGUAUUUGUGAAUGACCAAUUCCUCAACUAGGAUCCCGAGCAUCGAAUCAAAAUUCAAAUUGUCUCUGCAAGGGCCUAUCAUUCCCUAUUCAUGCACAAUAUGUAAGUGAAAAAUACUACUAAUAAGAAUGCUAAAGAUGCUCUUCAAUUCUACAGUUCGACAGUUAUCCAGAUAAGUCAUCUUUGCGUUUGUUCUGUUGAUCUCUAGUAGUGAAUCAUAGUUGUGUUAGUAGCAGGCUGGAUCAUACAUAUGCAUAUAUUAGUGUUAGUGAGAUAACUAGCUCCUCUUUCUCUCCUUAAUGCCAAGGGAAAACAUGUAAACUAGAAGAAGAAAAACUCUCUUUUGCAUGAAAUAAUUGGAAGGAUCGCAGGUGCAUCCGUCCUACGCCUAAAGAACUGGAGGAUUUCAGUACUCCGGACUUCACAAUUUAUACAAUGCUGUCCAGUUUCCAUGUAAUCGAUACACACACUACAUGACUACCUCCACCAGCAUUGAUCUUAAUCUUGAUAGGAAAGAAAUGGUCAUCCUUGGCACACAGUAUGCCGGGGAGAUGAAGAAGGGUUUGUUCGGUGUAAUGCACUAUCUAAUGCCUAAAAGAAACAUUCUCUCCCUGCACUCUAGCAACAAUAUGGGCAAAGAUGGUGAUGUUGCCCUCUUCUUUAGACUAUCAGGUAAGUGUUGGUCACAUUACUUCCACAUUCUUCCAUUCUUUGGAUUCAGCAAAAUCACAACUUGUUGCUCAUUUUCUUCUCAAAAUUCAAACUUUAUUUUCCUAAUUGUUGUGAAUUUGGAUCCCAGGACUAUUAUCCAGGUAUGUGGCUAACAGAUUUGACAAGGGCAAGGUAUGAAGUGAGGGAGAAGACAUGCACGAGGAAGAAGAAGAAGAGGCGAAGAGGGUUGAAGGGAAUGGAGAGUAUGGACUCGGAUUC
This is a long non-coding RNA of Zingiber officinale, 1457 nucleotides long. RefSeq lists it as uncharacterized. The record is from RefSeq and is a predicted model, not a curated record. The transcript is spliced from 3 exons. NCBI's taxonomy places the organism in Eukaryota, Viridiplantae, Streptophyta, Magnoliopsida, Zingiberales, Zingiberaceae.